This 298-nucleotide ribosomal RNA is filed under the name Alestrus dolosus. Its description in RNAcentral is "partial 12S ribosomal RNA". The record is from RNAcentral. Lineage: Eukaryota; Metazoa; Arthropoda; Insecta; Coleoptera; Elateridae.
AUUUUAGUCUAUUCAGAGGAACCUGUCCUGUAAUUGAUGGUCCACGAUUUAAUUAACUUUUUCUUGUGGUUUGUAUAUCGUCGUGGUUUGAAUAUUUUAUAAGGAUUUUAAUGUUCAAUAAUUAUUAUUUUAAUUGAUGUCAGAUCAAGGUGCAGCUUAUGGGAAAGAAGAGAUGGGUUACAAUAAGAUUAUUUCUGGUUUGGGAUUUUUAAUAUUCUCAUUAAAUUGGAUUUGAAUGUAAUGUUUUUAAAAUUAUAAACUUGAUUUUGGCUCUAAAAUAUGCACAUAUCGCCCGUCA